This 1110-nucleotide long non-coding RNA is filed under the name Apteryx owenii (little spotted kiwi). Its description in RNAcentral is "lncRNA (ENSAOWG00000014235.1)". The record is from RNAcentral. Lineage: Eukaryota; Metazoa; Chordata; Aves; Apterygiformes; Apterygidae.
AUGGAAAAACCCAAAACGUCCUCAAGCUACCUGGUUCCCACUCGCCCGUACCCGAUUCUUCCAUCUUUUCCACCGCUUGCAAGGGAAAAUGUGACCACGGAAGUCCCUACCAGGCCGGGACGUUGCAGGACACGUAGCCCCCGGUGUCCAGGGAAGGAGGACGUGCACCAGGUAUCGAAGCCGCUGCGGUUCCUGGGCCGGGUCCAGCGGGAACGCCGCGCGCUGGGGCUGAACCUCGUUGCAACGAUCCCAACCUCGUGCUUCGCUUUCGGUCUCGUUUCUGAAGCUCCCCAGGAAGGACGAGGGCCGGGCGCGACUUCUUCUCUCGCUCUUGUCCUCCUCGAAGCGGAAAGCUGCUGCGGAAACCACCGAGCGGCUGGAGCCCUCGGAUCCGGCGGGACCUGGGCAUCCGCGUCCGCUUACGGCACGAACCGCCGYGGCCCUUGUGCGUUCCAGCCGGCAGUUUUGGGGCCGUCUCCAAGGGCUCCGGAAAGGGAAGGGGGCUGCGGGAGCCCGGGCGCUUUGCCAGGGGACGCGUGGCGGAGGAUUAUUGCGGCUCGCUGUCCCCGCGGCCGCUGGCAUCUCCCGGCAGCCCGGCCCCGCGGCGGGGGCGUCCGGCACCUCCUGCUCCCGGCUUGUCCGGGUGAAGGUGUUGGGGGACUUUUUUUGUUGCUUUUCCAAUGCUGGGCUUCAAAAAUUGGGGAAAAGGGCCCUUUCCGCCGGCCGACGGAGUGGCGCCGGUGUAGCUGUGGGGGCUGCGUUGCUCCGUGGGCUUUGCAAGGGCGGGAGCCUGCGGAGAGGGGAGAGCAAAGCCCGCCGGGAGCAGGGAGCGCUGCCCAAAGGCUYCCCGGGAGCCGGAGCCCGCAAAGGGCCAAAGCAUCCCCAAAAAAGUCAGGGGAGCAAGCGAUGCUCCAGCUCCUCGCCGUGGGGCUGGGACAUGCGCCCACCGUGGUGGCAUCUCCUCGCCCGCCUCCCUCUCCGUCCUGCGCCCUGCAUGGCUGUGAGGAGCUCCUAGGGGAUUUUGGGGGGGUUGCGGGGGGGGUUUGCUUUGUUUUGGGGUCGUGUGUGCGUACAGGUGGGGUUACGGGGUUUCCAGGGGUUGUUUUUCCU